GAUCAUGGCUCAGGACGAACGCUGGCGGCGUGCUUAACACAUGCAAGUUGAACGGGACGGAUAUUGAAGCGACUUUCGGAGUGGUGGAUAUAUUGUUUAGUAGCGGACGGGUGAGUAAUGCAUGAGAACCUGCCCUUCAGAGGGGGACAACAGUUGGAAACGGCUGCUAAUACCCCCAUAUGCCGAGAGGUGAAAGGAGCGAUCCGCUGAAGGAGAGGCUCAUGUCCUAUCAGCUAGUUGGUGAGGUAAGUGCUCACCAAGGCGAUGACGGGUAGCCGGCCUGAGAGGGCGACCGGCCACACUGGAACUGAGAUACGGUCCAGACUCCUACGGGAGGCAGCAGUGGGGAAUAUUGGGCAAUGGGCGGAAAGCCUGACCCAGCGACGCCGCGUGAGGGAAGAAGGCCUUUGGGUCGUAAACCUCUGUUGUAUGGGAAGAAGGAAGUGACGGUACCAUACGAGGAAGUCCCGGCUAACUACGUGCCAGCCGCCGC
Molecule: ribosomal RNA, 493 nt
Filed under: uncultured bacterium
Lineage: Bacteria
Description: bacterial SSU rRNA
Rfam family: Bacterial small subunit ribosomal RNA
Source: RNAcentral